Molecule: microRNA precursor, 205 nt
Organism: Oryza sativa Japonica Group (Japanese rice)
Lineage: Eukaryota; Viridiplantae; Streptophyta; Magnoliopsida; Poales; Poaceae
Rfam family: MIR812 microRNA precursor family
Source: Rfam
AAUAUAUCACGCCGUUGACUUUUUAUCCAACGUUUGACCAUUCGUCUUAUUCAAAAAAUUUAUGUAAUUAUCAUUUAUUUUAUUAUAACUUGAUUCGUCAUCAAAUGUUCUUUAAGCAUGACAUAAAUAUUUUCAUAUUUGCAAAAAAAAAUUGAAUAAAACGAAUGGUCAAACGUUGGUCGAAAAAUCAACGGUGUCAUACAUU